GGGCCCGCACAAGCGGAGGAACAUGUGGUUUAAUUCGAUGAUACGCGAGGAACCUUACCCGGGCUAGAACGUAGGGAGACCGAUGGGGAAACUCAUUUUUCAGCAAUGACUGCCUACGAGGUGCUGCAUGGUUGUCGUCAGCUCGUGCCGUGAGGUGUCGGCUUAAGUGCCAUAACGAGCGCAACCCUUAUUGUUAGUUGCCAGCGGGUCAAGCCGGGGACUCUAGCAAAACUGCCAGCGUAAGCUGUGAGGAAGGUGGGGAUGACGUCAAAUCAGCACGGCCCUUACGUCCGGGGCGACACACGUGUUACAAUGGAUGGUACAGAAGGUCGCUACCACGCGAGUGGAUGCUAAUCUUAAAAGCCAAUUCUCAGUUCGGAUUGGAGUCUGCAACUCGACUCCAUGAAGCUGGAUUCGCUAGUAAUCGCGCAUCAGCCAUGGCGCGGUGAAUACG
Molecule: ribosomal RNA, 454 nt
Filed under: uncultured Bacteroidales bacterium
Lineage: Bacteria; Pseudomonadati; Bacteroidota; Bacteroidia; Bacteroidales
Description: bacterial SSU rRNA
Rfam family: Bacterial small subunit ribosomal RNA
Source: RNAcentral